ACACGACUACAUUAGAUACCCCGGUAGUCCUAGCCGUAAACGAUACUCGCUAGGUGUCGGCCACGGUGCGACCGUUGUCGGUGCCGUAGGGAAGCCGUGAAGCGAGCCACCUGGGAAGUACGGCCGCAAGGCUGAAACUUAAAGGAAUUGGCGGGGGAGCACCACAACGGGUGGAGCUUGCGGUUUAAUUGGAUUCAACGCCGGAAAUCUUACCGGGACCGACAGCAACAUGAAGGCCAGGCAGAAGACUUUGCCGGAUUAGCUG
This 265-nucleotide ribosomal RNA is filed under the name uncultured archaeon. RNAcentral's name for it is "partial 16S ribosomal RNA". It matches the Rfam family "Archaeal small subunit ribosomal RNA", at positions 717 to 982 of the family's 1478-position model. The record is from RNAcentral.